GUAAGUAUAAUGACACAUACUCUGAAAGUAUAAACUCGAUUUUUGCUGGGCGUCAGUUGAACAUUAUUUCACGUGUACGUUUCGCGCACAUAGAAACCACAUGUUCAGACCGCUAACGUUAACUUAGCAAGCAGACUGACUAAAGGAACAUAUGUUCACCAAAGGGAAGAGUGCAGACUGGCAAAAGCUAGCUCUAAUCAUUUGCUUUUCACUCCACUGUUGUAGCAUUAGUUAGCAAGCAUGGUGAUUUGUCUAGCAGUUCACAAAGAAAAUAGUUGAAUAUUUCCCUAGGUAGAUUGCCAGAUAUCUCUGAAAUGGUGCGGUCAAGUUUAGAGGUAAUCAAGAAAGUUCACAAGUUCAUUUUAACUUUGUUUCCAAAGUUGAGAGACGCGGACGGGUUCGAGCUGCUGAAAAUGUCUGGAACUACACAGAGCUGUCAUCUUAUACCUGUCCCAUGCCCCAAUCAGGGCUACAGUAUGAGAUAUCUGAAGACCCUUGUGUCGUGCUACUCUGUACAUUCGCCCGCUGUAAAGGAAUUUGAGUAUGGAGCAUGAACUGAAUGAUUCAGUUGUUGUUCAAAGUGGAACCCUGACACAAUGUCUAAACUGUGAAGAACAACUUCCCUUUGCACAAAUAAGAAGACACAGUGAAGCCUGCUCAAGUUCAUCUGGCAUUUCAGCAGCAAGUGGUCCAGUAUACACCGUUGGUGAACCAAAUCCGGUCAAGGCAGCUCAGCUGUUCACAUACUGGACACUUCAGUCCCACGAGGACAAAGACCUCCUGAGCUUGAGGGAUUCCUUAGUGGAAAGGAACAGGACCAUAAUCCUUUUCUCAACAAUUGCAUCCAAUGUCUUGGUUUGCUGAGCUUGUGUAACUCUACAUUGAAUGAUUUCAAAUAUGUUUACAAGGUGACUCUGCCAUUGGAGAGGGGGUCACUAGGUAUGUCCUGUCCACUGUUAUGGAAAAUCUUCAAAAUGGAUUCCUACUUGAUGAAGAGAAAGGUUCAUCAGAGGCCCUGAAGAGUUUGUCCGAGGUCCUGAAGAGUGCUUUUUUUAACCUGAAGCUGUCGAAAAAUACUAUGACUUAUGAGGAUUUUGAAAAAGAUCAGAUGGCAAGCAUCUCCUCAUCCUACUCUGGGUUUGGUCUGUUUUGAUUCAAAGCCCUGCAGGAAGACACAAUUCUUCACAUCAGCUCAAAAGUUUUAUAGAGCUUUUUACUUUGUUAUUUGAUAUACUUUACACUAGGUAUAGAGUUUAGUAAACAGUGAUACAGACACUUUGAUAAAGUGGCUUACAUUUUACAUUCUACAUUCUAACGGUAAUGGUUAACCAAAAAAAUCAAAGCUGUACAAUUUGAAAGAUUAGAGAGAGCUAGAUUAAAGGUAUUGCUCACUACCUCGUCAAUUCCCAAUGGCCUUGCAGGCAGAUGCAUUCUAGAUCCUAUUGGAGGAGGAACCUGAAGCUGGGGCCAGUUCAAAGGCCUACCCUCCAUAUCUACUCCCAUUAUCCCUAUUUAAAAGUCCUGUCAAUGCUAAUUGUGACUAACAACGCCUCUUUAUAAACAAUUUUACUUUUGAAGCCAGG
This 1583-nucleotide long non-coding RNA is filed under the name Salmo salar (Atlantic salmon). Its description in RNAcentral is "lncRNA (ENSSSAG00000093853.1)". Lineage: Eukaryota; Metazoa; Chordata; Actinopteri; Salmoniformes; Salmonidae. The record is from RNAcentral.